Thunnus maccoyii (southern bluefin tuna) is the source of this 231-nucleotide non-coding RNA. The record is from the annotation of a RefSeq genome assembly. Lineage: Eukaryota; Metazoa; Chordata; Actinopteri; Scombriformes; Scombridae.
GGAGGAACCAGACUGGAUGUUGGAGGUGAUGUCCGUCCCACCCUGACGGUGCUGCCCCCCUCCAGCGAGGAGCUGCAGCAGGGGAAGGCCACGCUCAUGUGUCUGGCCAACGAUGGCUUCCCCUCAGACUGGAGUCUGGCCUGGAAGGUGGACGGCAGCAGCAGCAGCAGCUUGGAGCAGAGCAGGAGCCCCGGGGUGCUGCAGAAGGACGGCCGCUACAGCUGGAGCAGC